Molecule: non-coding RNA, 27 nt
Filed under: Mus musculus (house mouse)
Lineage: Eukaryota; Metazoa; Chordata; Mammalia; Rodentia; Muridae
Also listed under: 1 other name
Source: RNAcentral
UAGUUUGAAAGCUACCAUAUCAAAACU